GAGUGAACCGGGAUGAGCUCAAAUUUAAAAUCUGGCGUCUUUCAGGCGUCCGAGUUGUAAUCUAUAGAGGCGUUUUCCGCGCCGGACCGCGUCCAAGUCUCUUGGAAUAGAGUAUCAAAGAGGGUGACAAUCCCGUACUUGACGCGACAACCGGUGCUCUGUGAUACGUUCUCAAUGAGUCGAGUUGUUUGGGAAUGCAGCUCUAAAUGGGUGGUAAAUUCCAUCUAAGGCUAAAUAUUGGCGAGAGACCGAUAGCGAACAAGUACCGUGAGGGAAAGAUGAAAAGCACUUUGGAAAGAGAGUUAAACAGCACGUGAAAUUGUUAAAAGGGAAACGAUUGAAGUCAGUCGUGUGAAAGGUAUUCAGCCGUCUCUGGCGGUGUAUUUGCCUUUCACGGGUCAACAUCAGUUUGAUCCGGUAGAAAAAGGCAGGAGGAAGGUGGCACCCUCGGGUGUGUUAUAGCCUCUUGUCAUAUGUGCCGGACCAGACUGAGGAACGCAGCUUGCCGCAAGGCCGGGGUUCGCCCACGUACAAGCUUAGGAUGUUGACAUAAUGGCUUUAAACGACCCGUCUU
RNAcentral lists this ribosomal RNA (574 nucleotides) under Vishniacozyma victoriae. Its description in RNAcentral is "partial large subunit ribosomal RNA". It matches the Rfam family "Eukaryotic large subunit ribosomal RNA", at positions 91 to 655 of the family's 3401-position model. The record is from RNAcentral. Lineage: Eukaryota; Fungi; Basidiomycota; Tremellomycetes; Tremellales; Bulleribasidiaceae.